This 253-nucleotide ribosomal RNA is filed under the name uncultured bacterium. Its description in RNAcentral is "partial 16S ribosomal RNA". It matches the Rfam family "Bacterial small subunit ribosomal RNA", at positions 524 to 776 of the family's 1533-position model. The record is from RNAcentral.
UACGAAGGGUGCAAGCGUUACUCGGAAUUACUGGGCGUAAAGCGUGCGUAGGUGGUGCGUUAAGUCUGUCGUGAAAGCCCCGGGCUCAACCUGGGAAUGGCGAUGGAUACUGGCGCGCUAGAGUGCGGUAGAGGAGAGUGGAAUUCCCGGUGUAGCGGUGAAAUGCGCAGAUAUCGGGAAGAACACCCGUGGCGAAGGCGGCUCUCUGGGACGGUACUGACGCUGAGACGCGAAAGCGUGGGGAGCGAACAGG